RNAcentral lists this ribosomal RNA (446 nucleotides) under uncultured bacterium. Its description in RNAcentral is "bacterial SSU rRNA". It matches the Rfam family "Bacterial small subunit ribosomal RNA", at positions 29 to 521 of the family's 1533-position model. The record is from RNAcentral.
AACGAACGCUGGCGGCAUGCCUAACACAUGCAAGUCGAACGAGACCUUCGGGUCUAGUGGCGCACGGGUGCGUAACGCGUGGGAAUCUGCCCUUGGGUUCGGAAUAACUUCGGGAAACUGAAGCUAAUACCGGAUGAUGACGUAAGUCCAAAGAUUUAUCGCCCAAGGAUGAGCCCGCGUAGGAUUAGCUAGUUGGUGAGGUAAAGGCUCACCAAGGCGACGAUCCUUAGCUGGUCUGAGAGGAUGAUCAGCCACACUGGGACUGAGACACGGCCCAGACUCCUACGGAGGCAGCAGUGGGGAAUAUUGGACAAAUGGGCGAAAGCCUGAUCCAGCAAUGCCGCGUGAGUGAUGAAGGCCUAGGGUUGUAAAGCUCUUUUACCCGGGAUGAUAAUGACAGUACCGGAGAAUAAGACUCCGGCUAACUCCGUGCCAGCAGCCGCGGU